UGGGGAAUCUUGCGCAAUGGGCGAAAGCCUGACGCAGCGACGCCGCGUGGGGAAGAAGGCCUUCGGGUUGUAAACCUCUUUCGACAGGGACGAAGCCACUCGGGUGAAUAGCACAGAGGGUGACGGUACCUGCAGAAGAAGCCCCGGCUAACUACGUGCCAGCAGCCGCGGUAAUACGUAGGGGGCAAGCGUUGUCCGGAUUUAUUGGGCGUAAAGAGCGUGUAGGCGGCCAGACAGGUCCGUUGUGAAAACUGGAGGCUUAACCUCCAGACGUCGAUGGAAACCGUCUGGCUAGGGUCCGGAAGAGGAGAGUGGAAUUCCUGGUGUAGCGGUGAAAUGCGCAGAUAUCAGGAAGAACACCCGUGGCUAAGGCGGCUCUCUAGUACGGUACUGACGCUGAGACGCGAAAGCGUGGGGAGCAAACAGG
This 427-nucleotide ribosomal RNA is filed under the name Bacillota bacterium. RNAcentral describes it as "Firmicutes bacterium partial 16S ribosomal RNA". It matches the Rfam family "Bacterial small subunit ribosomal RNA", at positions 355 to 776 of the family's 1533-position model. Lineage: Bacteria; Bacillati; Bacillota. The record is from RNAcentral.